GCACAUAUACUAAAAUUGGAAUGAUACAGAAAAGAUUAGCAUGGCCCCUGUGCAAGGAUGACAAGCAAAUUCAUGAAGCGUUCCAUAAAAAA
This 92-nucleotide small nuclear RNA is filed under the name Capra hircus (goat). The record is from RNAcentral. Lineage: Eukaryota; Metazoa; Chordata; Mammalia; Artiodactyla; Bovidae.